CUACGGGCCGCAGCAGUGGGGAAUAUUGGACAAUGGGGGCAACCCUGAUCCAGCCAUGCCGCGUGUGUGAAGAAGGCCUUCGGGUUGUAAAGCACUUUCAACAGUGAGGAAAGGUUAGUAGUUAAUACCUGCUAGCUGUGACGUUAACUGUAGAAGAAGCACCGGCUAACUCCGUGCCAGCAGCCGCGGUAAUACGGAGGGUGCAAGCGUUAAUCGGAAUUACUGGGCGUAAAGCGCGCGUAGGUGGGUUGUUAAGCGAGAUGUGAAAGCCCCGGGCUCAACCUGGGAACUGCAUUUCGAACUGGCAGGCUAGAGUACAGAAGAGGAUAGUGGAAUUUCCAGUGUAGCGGUGACAUGCGUAGAGAUUGGAAGGAACACCAGUGGCGAAGGCGACUGUCUGGUCUGAUACUGACACUGAGGUGCGAAAGCGUGGGUAGCAAACAGGAUUAGAUACCCCAGUAGUC
Molecule: ribosomal RNA, 464 nt
Filed under: uncultured bacterium
Lineage: Bacteria
Description: partial 16S ribosomal RNA
Rfam family: Bacterial small subunit ribosomal RNA
Source: RNAcentral